Molecule: long non-coding RNA, 994 nt
Filed under: Helianthus annuus (common sunflower)
Lineage: Eukaryota; Viridiplantae; Streptophyta; Magnoliopsida; Asterales; Asteraceae
Description: hypothetical non coding rna
Source: RNAcentral
UUUGGCAGAAGUUGCAACAUCAACUUUGCAUUUAAUACUAUCUUUCUCUCACUCUUUCUUUCACUUCUUUAUCACCAGAUUUUCUUUACACACACACUCUCUCUCUCUCAUUCAUUCACUAUCCUUUUCCUUCAUUCCUUUUCUUCAAAUAGAUCUAAACAAAUCGGAACAAAUCUAAAGAUGUCGAUACGGGGGUUUACCAGAUCUCUCUCGUUUGCCGAUAUGGGGAGGUUUUGCCGGUGCACUUAGGGUUCGUUUGGUGUUCAGAUCUAAACUUUGGUGACUUUGAAGUGACCUCCGGUGAUUUUAAUCUGGAAUACGUCAAACAAUAACAUAAUGUCGAUGUAGAAGACGCAAAAUCAACUAGAAGUUGUUUGGUUUCCAGCCAGUUAUGUCUCUCUCAUCUUGCUCCCUGAUUCACUCAUUGAAAUGAUAACGAUGAAAUACAGUGGCACUGAUCUUAGAUCCUUCGUCGUUUUUUUAUGAAUUUUGCAAGUCAAGAGAUCAGAAAAUUCUAAAGAAUAUAUAGUGCAAACAUUUUGGGAGCAAAAUGGAAGACCUUAACCCUUAAAAAAAGAAUCAUUUGUAGGUCAAGUGUUGUCAUGGGUUGGUUAUGAAGAUUAAAAACAUGGUUUGAUGGUUGUGUUGGGUGAAUUCGUUUCGCAGAUAACGAGGUAUAUGCUAGUUUAUUUAUUUUUUAUUUCAUUAACUUUUUUUGUGAUAAUAGUGAGUUUUGAAUAAUGAGAUGUGUAUUCAUAUGAUGUUAAGAAGUUAUUUUGAAUUAAUAUUAACAUAUGUAUUUGAAGUGAUGUAACAUUGGUAUUUUGGAUAGAUGAUGGGAUACACAUCAUUCCUAGUUACAAAAGUCAAGGAGGUUCAUAUAAAUGUAGUAGUUGGGUGUUAGCAAUGUACCAAUUUUGUGUAACAUUUUUAUGUAUAACAAAGUAACCGUAUCUUAACAUUGUUACAAUUAUUUUGUAACAUUUUAUGUAAC